AUUGAACGCUGGCGGCAUGCCUUACACAUGCAAGUCGAACGGUAACGCGGGGCAACCUGGCGACGAGUGGCGAACGGGUGAGUAAUGCAUCGGAACGUGCCUGGUAAUGGGGGAUAACUGCUCGAAAGAGCAGCUAAUACCGCAUACGACCUGAGGGUGAAAGGGGGGGAUCGCAAGACCUCCCGUUAUCAGAGCGGCCGAUGUCGGAUUAGCUAGUUGGUGGGGUAACGGCUCACCAAGGCGACGAUCUCUAGCUGGUCUGAGAGGAUGACCAGCCACACUGGGACUGAGACACGGCCCAGACUCCUACGGGAGGCAGCAGUGGGGAAUCUUAGACAAUGGGCGCAAGCCUGAUCUAGCCAUGCCGCGUGAGCGAUGAAGGCCUUAGGGUUGUAAAGCUCUUUCAGUGGGGAAGAUAAUGACUGUACCCACAGAAGAAGCCCCGGCUAACUCCGUGCCAGCAGCCGCGGU
Molecule: ribosomal RNA, 471 nt
Filed under: uncultured bacterium
Lineage: Bacteria
Description: bacterial SSU rRNA
Rfam family: Bacterial small subunit ribosomal RNA
Source: RNAcentral